UGGGGAAUAUUGGACAAUGGGCGAAAGCCUGAUCCAGCAACGCCGUGUGUGUGAAGAAGGCCUUCGGGUUGUAAAGCACUUUUAGUUGGGAAGAAAAGCUCAUGGUUAACACUCAUGAGUGCUGACGUUACCAACAGAAAAAGCACUGGCUAACUCUGUGCCAGCAGCCGCGGUAAUACAGAGAGUGCAAGCGUUAAUCGGAAUUACUGGGCGUAAAGCGCGCGUAGGUGGAAUCUUAAGUCGGAUGUGAAAUCCCUGGGCUUAACCUGGGCAUUGCAUUCGAUACUGGGUUUCUAGAGUAUGGUAGAGGGAAGUGGAAUUUCCGGUGUAGCGGUGAAAUGCGUAGAUAUCGGAAGGAACACCAGUGGCGAAAGCGGCUUCCUGGACCAAUACUGACACU
Molecule: ribosomal RNA, 400 nt
Filed under: uncultured bacterium
Lineage: Bacteria
Description: bacterial SSU rRNA
Rfam family: Bacterial small subunit ribosomal RNA
Source: RNAcentral